GACAUGGCCGUGUAUAUAGCAAAAGAGUUUUUGAGAAAAAUGGCUCAACCAUAUGAUAAGAACGGUGCUCUGGGCAAGAAAACUCUACUGUCACAAGAAGACUUGGAGAAUAUGAUCACCGGCCCUGAUGGGGAAAUGUUGCUUUAAGUGCCAGUACUAGGUGAGAAAUCAUUUUUGCUAAUCUGUUCCCCGGAAUUCUCAGUGUUCUAUAUGUGGAACAGCACGAUUACUACAUCCGUUAAAAUUUCAAGUGAACUGAUUCCUGUUAAAGAUUUGUAGCAACCUUCAGUUUUGGGCGACUUCACUACUUUUAGAGCUGACUUAAUUGGAAUUUCAUGAAGCUUGUACAUUUCCGGAUCUCUGAGACUUUCUUGGUUUUU
RNAcentral lists this unclassified non-coding RNA (380 nucleotides) under Hevea brasiliensis (rubber tree). The record is from RNAcentral. Lineage: Eukaryota; Viridiplantae; Streptophyta; Magnoliopsida; Malpighiales; Euphorbiaceae.